GCGGUGGUGGUCUAGCCUGGUAAGAUACCGCCCUGCCACGGCGGGGUUCGCGGGUUCGAAUCCCGCCCACCGCA
This is a non-coding RNA of Candidatus Bathyarchaeota archaeon B24, 74 nucleotides long. The record is from Rfam. NCBI's taxonomy places the organism in Archaea, Thermoproteati, Candidatus Bathyarchaeota.